GAUGAACGCUAGCGACAGGCUUAACACAUGCAAGUCGAGGGGCAGCAUAAAAGUAGCAAUACUUUGGUGGCGACCGGCGCACGGGUGAGUAACGCGUAUGCAACCUACCUAUCAGAGGGGAAUAACCCGGCGAAAGUCGGACUAAUACCGCAUAAAACAGGGGCACCGCAUGGUGAUAUUUGUUAAAGAAAUUCGCUGAUAGAUGGGCAUGCGUUCCAUUAGGUAGUUGGUGAGGUAACGGCUCACCAAGCCGACGAUGGGUAGGGGAACUGAGAGGUUGGUCCCCCACACUGGUACUGAGACACGGACCAGACUCCUACGGGAGGCAGCAGUGAGGAAUAUUGGUCAAUGGGCGAGAGCCUGAACCAGCCAAGUCGCGUGAAGGAAGAAGGAUCUAUGGUUCGUAAACUUCUUUUGCAGGGGAAUAAAGUGCAGGACGUGUCCUGUUUUGUAUGUACCCUGAGAAUAGGAUCGGCUAACUCCGUGCCAGCAGCCGCGGUAAAGU
Molecule: ribosomal RNA, 505 nt
Filed under: uncultured bacterium
Lineage: Bacteria
Description: bacterial SSU rRNA
Rfam family: Bacterial small subunit ribosomal RNA
Source: RNAcentral